This 71-nucleotide transfer RNA is filed under the name Ovis aries (sheep). It matches the Rfam family "tRNA". From Rfam's summary of the family: Transfer RNA (tRNA) molecules are approximately 80 nucleotides in length. Their secondary structure includes four short double-helical elements and three loops (D, anti-codon, and T loops). Lineage: Eukaryota; Metazoa; Chordata; Mammalia; Artiodactyla; Bovidae. The record is from Rfam by way of RNAcentral.
CCCUGGUGGCUAAGACGGUAAAGCGUCUAUCUAUAAUGUGGGAGACCUGGGUUCGAUUCCUGGAUCGGGAA